Molecule: RNA transcript, 10167 nt
Organism: Pelodiscus sinensis (Chinese soft-shelled turtle)
Lineage: Eukaryota; Metazoa; Chordata; Testudines; Trionychidae
Gene: KLF9
Gene name: KLF transcription factor 9
Source: RefSeq, a predicted model, not a curated record
ACCCCUCCCAACCCCUUCCAUCUGCAGUGACAGUGUAGAAAGUCCAGAUGAGGAUGUAGGAUCAGACAGCGACGUGACUACUGAAUCUGGGUCGAGCCCUUCCCACAGCCCAGUGGAAAGACAAGAUUCUGGCAGUGUGCCCAGCUCUCUCUCUCUUCUCCACAGUGGAGUGCCUGCAAAGGGGAAACUAUCCACUGAAAAGAGACACAAGUGUCCAUACAGUGGAUGUGGCAAAGUCUAUGGAAAAUCCUCCCAUCUUAAAGCCCAUUACAGAGUGCAUACAGGUUAGCUGUGGUCUCUCAAUUACAGAGGGGGGAUGUUGGGGUUAACCCAGUGGGUGACCAGGGCAGCAUUGGCUAUUUAAGUCAUGCUUUUAAGUCAUGAACAUUAACCUCUGUUCUUAAAUGCUGAAAAUAUAGACACAUAUUUAUGUUAAAAAUUGAUUGUCCUGAUUUGAACUCCUUAGAGAUUAUUUUACUAUUUAACGUGUUUUCUCCCAUCCUCCAUUUUUGUCUCUCAUCCUUGUUAUUAGCUGUGAAUGCAAUGGCUUUCUGGCUACAUUCAGUCUAUGAAAGCACAGUGUGUUACAGAAAUUGCAUGGACCAUAUAGGGCAGAAAGGAAAGGGUGUUCUUGUGAUUUGUCAUGUUAUUAAGAUGUUUUUUUCCCCCCUCUUCCCUGUAUCUGUGACACUGAGAGGAUCAGACCAGUAGAGGAGCUGUUUAGACUCAAAUGGUAUAAUCUGCUUCCAUGAGAGUAGCAAGAAUUAACCAAAAAUUGCAAGGAAGCUGCACACCCAUAGGCAGUAAAGCCUUUUAGGGAAUUCUCUGUGUUCGUCCAGCCUUAUGCUUGUUUUUGUGCUUGCCAAACUGCAUUUACAUUUGGGCAGGAGCCUUCAGAGAGUUUUAAAAUAACAUUGCUUAGUACAACAUAGAAUUUUUGACAAGAUAGGGGAUAGCUUCUGACUAGCUACUUACCAAGUCAGAUUUCAGAGCUUCAUUUUAUUCAUCCUGUGUGUUAGGACCUGUCCCCCUGAGCUCCGCUAUAAUAUUAAGGGCGUGGUCAGUUUGAGGUUGUGGAUUGAUGACGAAUUUUAUGAAUUCUCAUAAGGAAACAUGUAAACUAUAACACCUACAUGAAUCAGAAUGUGAAAGAUCUAGUAAUGAAUGAGCUAAAAUAUGAAAAAUGGAUGAGGCCAAAGGCAGGGAAAACUCCAGCUUUAGAAUUGUAACCAUCCUUGACAAGACAAAUACACUUUGAUUAAUCAGAUAUACUGAAGGAAAGUUGUUAGGUGGUUAUAAUUCUAAUAUACCAGUCCAUCUUCUAUGUAAGCCUCUUAAAUCAGACCUGCUGGCAUAAGGCUACAGCACACUGGGUCGUAAAUUAUGACAGCCACCAUCACUAUAGCCAUUUCUUUUACAACACUGCUUUUACAGCAGACUAUUUUUGUAAAGGUAUUGAGCAUAUUUUUAAUGAACAAAUGCUUUUAAAUAAAUGCUUUUUUUCUCCAAUAAGCACAGCAAGAAUAGAGGGGCAAAUUCUCUGCUGAUGUAAAUGGGCACACUUCCAUUGACUUCAAUGAAAUCUUGCCCAUUGAUAUUAGGAGAGAAAUUGGCUUAUUUUUAAAAAAUACAAGCACAUGAGUCUGAUACAUACUUAACAAGGAGGACAGCCGUUAUUAAAGAUCAGAUGUAAGGUAAAUCUCAACCUCUGUUAACUUUCAAAGCUAUGUGCAUUCCAUCAGCUUUACAAUUUGUGUUUUGAUGGCACCUGUUCACCAUCAUUAUUUUAGUCUGUUCCCAUGAGGGGAGUGGAUGGCUCAAAAUACUGGUAAUACAGAGUUACAGAGCUAUUCAUUUUUUACAACAGUGUUCUGAAUGCAGAAUAGGUUGGUCCUGGUAAAGGUAAAUUAUCACAUUAUGGCUGGUUGGGCCUAUAUGGAAUUAACUGGUUGUCUCAGUCUAGUUUAUAGUGGAUGAGUUGCCAAACUGUGUUCCCUUUCUCUCUCACACAGAAGACAAACUCCAUCAUGACAAACUGACACCUUUAUUGGCAAACUCAGCAGAGACCAAGGACUCCAUGGACAUGGAGUGAGGGGAAGAUUUUCAAAAACAUGUAGAUGACUUAGGACCCAGAUCUGUGAAUUUCACUAUUUAGGUGCCAGUAGCAUUUUCAAAGUUGCCCCUGAGCUGCCACCUCAUUCCAUAGAUGUCUAAAUCUCCUAACUGCCUUGCCACUGACCAGCAUUUGCAAAGCUACCCCCCACAGUUAAAGAGCUGCUCAGAGCUCCAGCCCAAGACAAAGCCCCCAAAUGAGAUUAGAGGGGGGAGGCUUGUCUUGCCAAUGGGGUCUGGACUGAUAGGCAUGCUCUGAACAUGUCUGGAGACCUGAUACCUGUUAGAAUCAACAGCUGAAACAGGUCAUCAGUAGGUGGAAGAGCAGCAUAGUGCCAUACAAAAGACACAUGGGGGUACAGAGAAUGUAGAAUGAGUGGGAGAAAGGUAUCAAGCAUGAACAGGGGAGGAAGUGAGAGUGUUUUGGUUGGUAGGACACUGGCUAAGUGGCUGAUCUGGCUUAGGUGCCUAACUCUAGGAGCUGUUGACUCUGACUGAGGGUCCUGAUUGGCAGAACCCAAUCUCUAAGCCAGAUGCACCAGUCAUCAACUAGUGCCUAAGGGCCACACCUCUCCUUAGCAUUUCAUUCCUGGCUAGCUUAGACAACUCUCAGUUCUGCCGACUGGCUUCUGAAAAUCCCUUCAUUAGGUGCCUAAUUCUCCCCCUGCAUUGUACAGAGCAUUUCUGGCUGUCUGCUUGGGGUUUUCGCUGUCAGACACUGAGCGGAGCAAUACCUAAAUACCUUUAAGGAUAUGGGCCUUAGUCCCAUGACUUCCCAGGGAAAAUAUGCUCCCUAUCAUAUCACUUGGCAAUUUAAAAAAUGUUACCCUUAACCUAAUUUUUAACCACACUCUACAGGUGGCCUAUUUAGGUGGGGUCGGGGGGACAGGACACAGUUGGGUCAAAUUGACAGGGCAACAAGGGGACUACUGCAUUAGUUCCAUAGAGGACAUCGGUCUUCAGUAGUGUCACAAUGGUGUUUUUCACCAAGACUAAGUUAAUAAGACUGUAUAUGCUACCUCAAGUGGGUGAGAUAGUAUGGCAAAACAUUAACCGGACAGUAAAAUAAAUAAAUAAAUAAAUGUUUAAAAAAGAUCUGCUAUAGUAAUUCAGCUGUCCCUACACACCCCUCAAAAAUUAUAAAGAUAGUCAUUGUCAGCUUUUUAAAAAAACCGUCAUAAGUCCUUUUAAUUCAUGUCUGGAUGAAACCAUUGCAACACAUGUACAUUGCAAUAGUAGACAAAGCUGGUGCACAGGACUGAUUAAAAGUUGCUGUAAAUAAGAGUUGUGCAUAAGUGCAAGACUAAAGUCAGAGGACACCAACAUCACCAGAAGUUGGAAGUAUACCUUCCAAUCAUAUAGUAUCUCUUUUGUAGAUUACUUGGUUCUUUUCUGAGCUUUCUAUAAAAUGGUGGCAGUAGGAAGAGAAGAGAUUUUUAAUCACAGAAGAUCUACCACAGGGCACUGCGGUAAUAGUUAUGCAUGAAGAGCAGUUUUAUGAAAGAAAAUGGCUAAUUCAGAAUUACAGUUAAACUCCUGUUGAACAAGAUUUCCCUUUAGCCUAGCAAUACUACUGUACAUUACAAUAAGGUAGACCUGAGUUUGAUUACCUGUCUUGUGCUCUCCAUGCUAUAGGGCUACUCAGCUCAGGGAGGACAGGUGGACAAGGAGAAUGUUGGCAUGUCAUUCAACAGCAGGUUAAUUAAGGAACCUCACUGAUUGCCUAUAGUACCAAGGAAAGGAGUGCAGUCGUGCUCUAACUUGUUGGGCUGGUAAUAAUGCCAUAGAACCUUAUGGAGAAGGAAAGUUCACCUGAACUCCUAGUUAUCUUCCUGGUAGUGAACUUUGUGGAUUUCUAAGCUUCAGAGGUGAACUGUGUGAAGAAAAAAUACUCCAUUUGCCCAUUUCCAGCUCACAGAUACAGAUAGAAACUUGAGAAAGGCCUAGGAAGGGAAAGCCAUUUAUCAAAAAACUAGAUUUAAAAAAAAAGGCCCACCAUUCUCAGUCCUUUAACCUACCCUAGGGCCUGUGUGGUGUCUGACCCGUUAUUUCAUGUCUAAUACAUAAUCAGAAAUAUGGUAGCUAAAUGUAGGUGAAGACUUGCAAAUUUGUGGCUUGCAAUAGACAAAGGAAAUGACAGCAUCUUUCCAAUUUGUUCCCAGAAAUCCAUCUUGUUCUGAUGUAUAUAUCAGCUGGCAUAUUGCAUUCUGCAUGCUGACAUGUAAAUUAACAUACUACAUUGCUUCAAAAUUCCUAUCAUUAGUUUUGUUAUAACAAGUCGGUUUUUAAGUGGAAUAGGAUUUACCUAGGCCAGAUAUGAAGUGGAUACCCAUGGAAAUCUAAUAAAGGUUAAUGCUAAUAACAGUAUCGUUUUCGGUCAUUAAAUAUGAAUAUAGCUGAAUAUUUGUGGUGUAGGGUAAUAAGCUCUCAGCUCUUUCCAGUGUAAGCAGAGUUACCUUUAGCUGAUAGAAUAGUAAAUGAUACUCAUCAAAAGAAUUACUUCAUGAAUGGGAGAACUGAAAAAGCCGUGUGUAGCCUCUAAGUUCACCUAAAAUCUGUACUUAUAAAUCAAGGAUUACUCCAGUCCUAUCUUUGGAAAGGGAGCAAAACAGAUAAGUCACUAAAGGAAAUCAAGACAAUACCCCCUAGGCAAAUAGGAUUCUUGAACUCUGCAAACAAUUAUAAAAUGCAUGUAGCAGAUUUGAAGUCAUUCCAAGAGUGAUACAUUCCGUAGCCACAGCUAUGUAUUUCUGGAUUGGAUUGACCAGGAAUAGACAUGACUACACAUUAUAAAGUUAACUAUCCAUCUUCAGUGAUUCAUUCAUUCAAAAAAGUUGCUGUCCAUCAUUUCAUGAACCCUUAAAAUCAGCCUGGCAUUUCUAAUGUGAACUUGCUUUCCUAGGCAAAGAUUUGAUUUCUCACUGCCUUUGCAGUCGUUAGCACUCUUAGUUAAAAUAGAUCCUCAUCAAUAGUUACUGGCUGCCAUUGUAAAUAUUGAAUGUUUAUCUUAUUCUGUCUUGAAAAACGGUUUCUGAAUGUCUACUCAUUGUACCCAUGGUCUGUGUCUUACUAAUAUAAAUAUCCCCUUUCACUCAUGUAUACUCACUAAGUAAGUUAAAAAAGUUUAGUGACUACUUAUGUGCAUGUUGUAUUGGUGUGAAAUUAAAACCACACUGGCACAUGUUGUACAAGCUGAUAGAAAAUGAGGGAUGAAAUACCAGACUAAGUUACAAGAAGAGGGAACUACAGAUCAGAUAAUUAUUAGUAACAUGCAGACUCUUUUAUCCCCUUAACUGCUAGUUCAAACCAGCCCCUCUUGCAGACUCCAAAAGGAGCCAUCUGAGGACUGGAUGCUUAUGGCCUGUUUCAUGACUCCUGCUCAAAAUUAGCUUGACAAUUAAUAUUUAAUUUUGGUGAUGUCUUGGAUUUUGGACUGAAACCCAAGACAUCACUAAAAUUAGUAUUAUGAAUUAUUUCUUGUAGCACCUAUGAAGUGGUUGGGACUUUUCUGAUGGAAGAGAGAGCCUGACCAUAUUCUUCAAGGAUACCACAAUCUAAAGACUUUCUCUCUGCCUUGAGGCUACAGGAAGGAUGCAGUACACAUACAAUUAAUCUUUAGAAUGUGCAUAUAUACAUAUAAUGAAAAUAGGAUAUGCAAAAUUAUACCCAAACUACUUUUCAGACUUGAUAUCAGUGGUAGCUUUCCCAAAACCAUCAUGACAGAGGUCAGGCUUCAGGAGAGACUUGAAUAUGACAAGGGUACAGUUCUUCCAGAUAAAUGCCAUAAGGCCAUACCAUGCACAGAGAGUAGCAUAGAAAGCAUAGAACCACAUAGGAGAUGCAGUUGCAGACAGAUGGGCAGUCAGGGCUGAAGUCUCCGGUGCAGAGGAGAGUCCAGGUGGAAGUGGGUGGAUGGUUGAUUUAGAGUAGCACGGGGCAUUCGUUUGGCAAUACAGAGUCUUUGUUGUCAAUUUAUAUUGUUAAUGAGGGUAGAGCUGGGGCUGAACAGUCUUUUUAGAAAGUUUUAAUUAAAAUAUAUAUCUGAAAGGUGAAAGAAGGAGGGUGUGAACAAGGACAGCCAGUAAAUGGACACAUGCCACAUGGGAGAGACCAUCACCACUAAUUGCCAAGAGAGGAAAUGAGAAGCAGUAUAGGUAGCAAGAGGCUAAUUAUGUGGGCUGUCUGUUAUAGGGUUAGAAGAAGCCUCAGUUAGGAACCCUGUAAGGAUGUUAAGUAUUGAGUAAAUGACUAAGUGUGUAUCGAGUACACGAUUAGUUGAUAAGGGGCCGCUGCAGCUCUGCAAUUUAAAUGUAGUAGGGGCCAGGCGUGCAGGCAGUCCAGCUCCUACUACAUUUAAACUGCAGAGCUGCAGCGGGAAUAGGUCUAGGACCCAGCACGAGCCAGGACUGCUUCAGUCCUGGCUUGCACUGGGUCCCGUGCUGCAUCUCUGCUCCUCCCCCUCGCACUGCAGAGACACUGCUGGGGGAACUGGCUUUUAAGCUGGCUCCCCCAGCACUGGCUCCUGCUCCCCCUCUGUUUCCUGCCUCUGAUAUAGAGGCAGCAGGGGGGGAGAAUGUGAAUAGUCAACUCAACUACCCAAUAAGCCUACAUUUAUCGGGUAGUCAACUAUUCAACUACUCUUUUAUAUCUCUAGAAGCCAGAGAGACUAAAGGUCCUGAGUGCUCCAUGUAGCAAGGUGCACUUGCUCCUAAGGUUUGGCUGAUGAUCUUUGUAUCAAAUAUUCAUAAUGAACAAGGAUUUCCCUGUAUUAUAAGUGCUUGGAAGAUAAGAUUUCCUAGAGAGUGCUAUAAAGUGCAUGAUGAGGCAUACACAUUCUCUGCCUCCUCAAUAGGGCCUUAGAACAACCCAUGUCAACAGGAGAGUCAGAACCAGUGCAAGAGAUUUGUAAUACAACAGCAGUUAUGCCCUUAAAUGCUUCCUUUGACAUUUUGCCCUUAAUGAUAUUCAGUGGCAGGUUAAGGGCAGAGACAUGGAACCACAGAUCUGUAUUCUGCUGUCCGGAGGGAAAGCUUACAGCAGCAUUUCUGUCACAAGAGAAAGGCAACUGAUUGAUGCCACAACACAAACACUGCACCAGAUAACCAGGCCCCUUACCUCUUUAGGCUGCUCCUGACUUCGUUACUUUCCCAUUUAUUUUCUGAAGUAUCCCAAGUUUGUCAGAGACAAUACAAAUGCGUAUUUUAAUGGGCAGUUUGGAGCAUUCAUUGUCUUUUGAGUUUAAAAUGGAAACAAUCUGAAAUCUAACAGUUUAAGUUUCUUAGUCGAGACACGUUACACAGGUAGCACCUUUAUAAUAUGGCUGAAGAUAACAGUGGUCACAGGGCAUCUUGAUAAAAAUGUGUGAAACCAUUAUUCUCAGGGAUUUAUACAAAUGUGAAAGUUUGUAUUGUUAUCAGAACAAAUGGACAGGUUUUCUAUCUAAGAGAAAAUUGUCAUAUUUGAUAAUAUUUGAUUACAUUGCUUGAAAGGCUAGUAGAUUUUUGAUGCUUUUUUGUAUUUCAAUUUUUAAAAACCCAAUAAUUAAGUAUUUAAUUAAAUUUCUCAUUGGGAAAAUUAUUAACCAGUGUUAGUGGUCACACUACCCAUCACAGCAAGGAAAAGCACAUGUGGAAGGGGAGCGGAGAACAACAAAGUGGCUGGACUUCAACUGCUUUACUUUCUCCUUUCACAUCAACAAUGUAACUCCUGUUGCCAGCAGAGGACAUAUUGGAAGUGUUGAUUCUAAGGAGUUAUUGCACCCUGUUGUGCCUUGGUAUUGGAGACCACUUAGUAUAUUUCUUUCUCACCUGAUUUUGUCAGUUCCUGUGCAGAACCAUUGGGGUUGCUGAGGGGAGUACAUUCCCCUUUAGUUCAGUGAACUGCAAUAUCGCACCAUCCUCCCCAUUCACUGAUAGAGCUGCCAAACCUGAAAAAGCAGAAAGUGUUGGGGAAAAACCAAGUUAAGUUUAAAUGGCCAAGUCCUAGGAUAGCAAGAAUAGGGCUCAUUUUAAAUUAUCUGAUGUUUGUUUUAACCCUGUGUUUAGAUACCAGGUCACACUCUUGUAUCUGAAUGUUCUGAAAUAUCAUGCUGGCAGUUUUUUUGGGGGAACCAGAAUGGCGUUCCAAUACUAUCGCUAAUUGUAAAAUAAACUAACAAUAGUGGUUAUUACCUUCAUUCUUCAUCUUGUACUAUUGGUGGUUGCACCCAUUCAGCAAAAUGGUGCAUUCCGGCUCUUUUUUAAUGGCUAGAGCGCUGAUGCUAAUUAUAGUGACUUGCACCCUAUAAAAACCUAAGACGGACAGAGUCUCAGGUUGUCCUGUUGAAUAGUCUAGCGCACGUGCAUGAAUAAAUAAUCAGCUAGGGAAUUCAUAGACAAUGAUGAAAACAAUGUUUUGUACUCCUGAAUAUAGAGACAACAGGUGUAAAUUUGUGCAGAGGUGUACUGAAGGAAUCAUGUAGCAUAUUGAUAUUACGUUUGGUGAUUAUGUGUAUGUUGUGGCUUUGGCUCUUCCCUAUAUUAAGUCAAUUUGGAAAACUAACUGCCAUUAGCAGCACACCUUCAGCACACCUGUCACGUAUCAGCACACAAAAUUGCUCUCUAAAGGGCACAAGAACAUACCACACUGUGGAUUGUACUUGCUCUAAGCAAAACUAGCUAUUGUCCGUUGAUACAGUGUCAGUGCAGAUAUCAAAAGCUGGUGUAAUAAUCUCUAUGGUGCAAAUUUCCCUUCCAUCAUUGUCCCACAGAGCACUAGCCACCACAGAAGAUCGCUGUUUGACCUAGUUCUUCUGCUUUGUUGAUUCAGGAUCAAGUUCUCCCGAUAUACCUUGCCUACUACUGCAUACCUGUAAUCUCAUGGUGUGCUGUUCUUUGCCAGCACCCAUAGCUUUGCAGUUAUUGUGUUUCAGCAAGCCAAUCUUGAAACACAUUUCAGAAAGAAAAAGUUAUUGUGUAUGAAUGCUGCCAGCUGGCCAGAAGCAGAUACCCAGGUGCUUGUGAGAUUCAAUUGCAUUUGUACUCUAAUUAGGAAAACCUUGGAUUAUGACUGUAUGACACAAAUAGAAUGUGUGGCAGAGAAUCACCCAUUUGGGAGAAACAACAUCAAGACAAAUGUAAAAGGGCCAAAGGAGCAAUGCACAAAGGCCUCAGAUAACUGCACCCAGUCUGGGCUACAGAGGAAAACCUGCCUUUUUUCCUAGUGAAUUGGAAAGUAUUUUUGGUACUCAUCAAUCUACAGUGUGUGAGGUACUUUGGAUGGCACUGAGACUCCUAGCACCUGGGAGAUCUGGAAAAGAGGAAGGACAAAUAUUCAUCAUAGCCUAAUCCAUGACAAGGGAUUUGGGCCAGGACCACGAAAUGUCUGAGACCUUACCGGGAUUCCAAGACUGCUUUGGAGAAGCUCAAGAUCUGGCUACAGCAGCCAAAGAGUUUGGGGUGAACUUAGGAGACAAAGGAGCACACAAGCCACAUGCCAAAGUAAGGGUAGGCAUGUAGUGUCAUCUGGCUCAGAUGUCACAUGACCAGACAAAAUGGAGAUGGCCCGACUGAAGCCAGGCCCCGUGUGGAAAUGCUGGCACAUCACAGAAUGGGAUCACAAAGGACUGAACACUUUUUUGAAAAACAAGACCAAUUUAGGCUAGAGGACAGAAUAUCAAUUAUGGAAUAUAUCUGACAUGAUAGUAAAAUGAAGCUGCCGCUCAAGAAGUCCACAGAAAACUUCUUCAAAGAGAAUAUGUGGAGAAGCAAAGGCAGCUGACAUCAUUCUCCCAUCACCCUGUACCUAUUUGCCUUGUUCAGUCACCUCAGCAUGAUGCUAUCAUACAGAACUGCAGCACCUCAUACUGGACUGCCUCCUUCCUAUCUGCUCCCUCUCCGGUAAUUUCAUGGAACACUGGUGGUGAACAGGACAACACUGGAGUAUGCAGAACAUGCUUUUAUGGUCCUAUAGCCCCAUUACCCAAAUCUGUGUGUGCUUGAUUUGUUUUUCUCUGGUUACUCAUUGAAGCCAGCUUGAAUGUUUCUGGUUUUAAAUAAAGUAAAUGUGCAUAAUUUA